This is a long non-coding RNA of Oncorhynchus tshawytscha (Chinook salmon), 1700 nucleotides long. The record is from Ensembl. NCBI's taxonomy places the organism in Eukaryota, Metazoa, Chordata, Actinopteri, Salmoniformes, Salmonidae.
CUGGGACAAUAAAUAACAUUAAGCUGUUACACACCCAGAAACAUUAUGUUGUUGUGGUCUGGGACAAUAAAUAACAUUAAGCUGUUACACACCCAGAAACAUUAUGUUGUUGUGGUCUGGGACAAUAAAUAACAUUAAGCUGUUACACACCAAGAAUAAAUAUGUUGUGUGGAGGUGCUGACUAACGAUGAAUAAACUAUAAACUAUCAAAUUAAAUAGAGUCCCACACUCCAUAUAUAAACUCUAUAUAUAAACUCCAUAUAUAAACUCCAUAUAUAAACUCCAUGUAUAAACUCCAUGUAUAAACUCCAUGUAUAAACUCCAUAUAUAAUAUAUAAACUCCAUAUAUAAACUCCAUAUAUAAACUCCAUAUAUAAACUCCAUGUAUAAACUCCAUAUAUAAACUCCAUAUAUAAACUCCAUAUAUAAACUCCAUAUAUAAACUCCAUAUAUAAACUCCAUGUAUAAACUCUAUAUAUAAACUCCAUAUAUAAACUCCAUAUAUAAACUCCAUAUAAAAUAUAUAAACUCCAUAUAUAAACUCCAUAUUUAAACUCCCAGUAAUUGAUUGGGUUUUUACCAACGUUUCAGCAUCACUGUGUCUUCUUCAGGGUGAUGUCAUGAAUACUUGAACCAGGUUAUGUAGACAAACAGUGCUAUUAGUGCAACCAAUGUCAAUAGUGAGGGGUGUGUCAUAAUUAUUAAGUUAUUAAUUAAAAUUAAUUAGUGAAACUUUUAAAAAACAAUAGUUUAUGGCGUAUUAAAUAUAGUAGGCUAUAUUAUAUAUAUCCCCCUCUCCUAUUGUUAAAUUCACUCACCGCUAGGUGUAAUUGAUCCUAUCGUACCAGUCUAAACACUCAUUCAGACCGCUAGGUGUAAUUGAUCCUAUCGUACCAGUUAAAAACGCUCAUUCAGACCGCUAGGUGUAAUUGAUCCUAUCGUACCAGUCUAAACACUCAUUCAGACCGCUAGGUGUAAUUGAUCCUAUCGUACCAGUCUAAACACUCAUUCAGACCACUAGGUGUAAUUGUUUGUAGGUCUCUUAUCCACCUACGUUCCACUGCUUUUCACCGCCCACUGGUCCACCCAGAACACGACUGUAAUCCUGAUAUAUGGAGGUAAGUGAUGGGGUGAUCCUGGAAAUGAGUCACUAGUUCUGUGUGUAAAUGGGCCCGUUUGAUAUUGUAUAGAUGUUGUUUAAGUCUAUUUUCUAUUGUAUACUGGGUUUCCCCAAUGUAGUGUUUUUUUGCUAAAUGUGCAAGUGAUUAUAUAUAUGACAUUUGGAGUGUAGAGUGAAAUGGAGUCUAAAACUGGAGUGGAGGUCUUGCUGUAUGAGUUUGAAAUGAAUUUUCUUGGUCUGAAGUGGGCCGUGUAGGGUUUGGGUGGUUGUGGGGGCUUGGUACUGUAUUUAGCUUGGAUGAGGAUGUCUUUGAGGCUCUUAUUCCUCCUAAAUGCUGAGAUUAUUCUAUACAGCUGGAGGGGUGUGUGUGCCUGUUGGGUGAUGGAAAAAUUGUGUUUGAACACCUGAUGUAACGGUCUGAUCCUAUGUGAGAAUGUAGUAACUAGGAGGAUGAGGAUUGUCUGCUGCUCGGAAGGGGAAUGAGAGGAGGAAAGAAGAUUGUGGUUCCGAGGGGGGUCAAUUUCCAAAUCUGUUGUUCUAGGAGGGGUAAGGUUAGGGGUAGGGUUAUGAUUAGGGUUAG